CAUUGACCCCAUGCAGUUCCCAUUGCCCCAUUGAUGCCUUAGUGACCCCAUAUCCCCAUUCAGGUUCUGGGUCUGGUUCUGAUCCGGUUCUGGGUCUGGUUCUGGUUCGGGUCCGGUUCUGGUUCCAGUCCGGUUCCGGUUCUGGUCACAUUGGGUCCAAUUGGCCCCAUUACUUCCAUCCACCCAUUGCCCCAUUGAUGCCUUAGUGACCCCAUAUCCCCCUUCAGGUUCUGGUUCUGGUUCCGGUUCUGGGUCCGGUUCUGGUUCCGGUCCAAUUCCGAUCCCAUUGAAUCCAAUUGAGCCCAUUAAUCCAAUAUGUUUUAUUCACCCAUUGACCCCAUGCAGUUCCCAUUGCCCCAUUGAUGCCUUAGUGACCCCAUAUCCCCCUCCAGGUUCUGGUUCUGGUUCUGGUUCCGGUUCCGGUCCGGUUGGGGUCACGCAUGCAGGCAGCGGUUGAAGGCGUUAUAGGCCGAUUCCAGGUCGAACAGCAUCUGUCGGACCUGGUUGUCGUCCAGUUCAUCUGAUGCCGACAUGGAGCUCAACGUCUGCAGCCUGCGGGUCGGAACCAGAACCAGAACAUUAAGAACCCCAUAAAGAACACAUAGGAGACCAUAAGGAUCCCAUAAGAACCCCAUAAGAUCCCAUAAGGACCCCAUAGGACCCCGUAAGGCCCCAUUAGGCCUCACUAGGCCCCAUUAGGCCUCAGUAGGCCGCAUAGGCCCCAUAAGACCCCAUAAUGACCCCAUAAGACCCCAUAAGGACCCCAUAAGGACCCCAUAAGACCCCAUACGGACCUCAUAAGACCCCAUAAAGACCCUAUAAGACCCCAUUAGGCCCCAUAAAGACCCUAUAAGAACCCCAUAGGCCACAUAGGCCCUAUUAGGCCUCACUAGGCCCCA
This 899-nucleotide long non-coding RNA is filed under the name Coturnix japonica (Japanese quail). RNAcentral describes it as "lncRNA (ENSCJPG00005002790.1)". Lineage: Eukaryota; Metazoa; Chordata; Aves; Galliformes; Phasianidae. The record is from RNAcentral.